RNAcentral lists this unclassified non-coding RNA (253 nucleotides) under uncultured Gemmatimonadota bacterium. RNAcentral's name for it is "uncultured Gemmatimonadetes bacterium contains 16S-23S intergenic spacer region". It matches the Rfam family "Bacterial small subunit ribosomal RNA", at positions 524 to 776 of the family's 1533-position model. The record is from RNAcentral. Lineage: Bacteria; Pseudomonadati; Gemmatimonadota.
GACGGAGGGCGCAAGCGUUGUCCGGAAUUACUGGGCGUAAAGCGUGCGCAGGCGGCUCGCUAAGUCCUUUGUGAAAUCCCGGGGCUCAACUCCGGAAUCGCUGAGGAUACUGGCGAGCUAGAGAACGGUAGAGGUCAACGGAAUUCCCGGUGUAGCGGUGGAAUGCGUAGAUAUCGGGAAGAACACCAGUGGCGGAGGCGGUUGACUGGGCCGUUCCUGACGCUCAAGCACGAAAGCGUGGGGAGCAAACAGG